Molecule: long non-coding RNA, 1998 nt
Organism: Ziziphus jujuba (common jujube)
Lineage: Eukaryota; Viridiplantae; Streptophyta; Magnoliopsida; Rosales; Rhamnaceae
Exons: 2
Source: RefSeq, a predicted model, not a curated record
UCUCUUUCAUAUUUUAUCUUAUCAAAUAAUAAAGUUAUCCUCCCGUCCCCAUGGCAUCAAUCUACUACUGGACCAGGUCGAGCACCAAUUUCCUUGUAAUUUCUUUGGUCAUUUUAUUUUAUUUUAUUUUUUUACUUGGAGCUCACAGUUCCACAGAGAGAACGUUUAGAGGAUGACUGUUUCAGUUGCCUCUCUUUUCUCUCAUGUUUCUCACAAACCAAACGGCCUUUCCUUUCCCCGCUCAAAGUCCAUCUCCGUCAGCCCAGAAUUUCUCCUCUCGUUGUAUGGAAAUCGAGACUCGAAGCCCAAACGAUUAUCGGCACCGGUUGCCAAAAAAAGGGCCAAGAAGGCAGCGGCAAAAUAAUCAUCAAUUACCGCGAUUUCAAGGUCCUCUUUCUCUUUUUCUCUCUUGUGCAUUUAUAUAGAGUUCACAGUUUCAAGUGAGCUCUGUUUCGAUACAUUGCAAGCUUCUGUGGAUUUUCAAAUUUACUGUGUUGUUUGGGGUUUUAAAGGAUGAUAUUUUGUGGAAAAUUAGGGAUUCUCAAUUAUUAGCAUAGUUUGCUUAUUUUCAAUGCCAUGUUCUGUGUUUCAUUCUGCUGAGCUAAUUUUGCAUCUUGUGUAGUUCUAUUCGUGUCUGUCUACGUCUGGUUAUUAUCUUGGAUGUGAAAAUGAUGGAAAUAUGUCAUCAAGGCAUGGCCAUGGGAAAAUGUACAACUCCAAUUAUUAACGUUUGGGAAGGAGCAGAUCAAAUGGAUAGAUUACACAGUGUGAUUGAUACUGUUCAGUCGGUAUUGGAGAUAAAACCCAUCGUAUAUUGUGUUUGGGAAAUAUGGAUUUGGAUUGAUAAAUAGAAAAAAAUAAUAAUAAAAAAAGAUAAAUGCAUUAUUAUGCUUGAAGUCCUCAUCUAUAUAUUUUAAAGUGAAACUGUUUACAAUCAUCUCUGUUUCUGGCCCUGAGACAGUGGAUAAGAAUUCAAAUGUGUAUUUUAUCUAGCUCGUAAUUGGCGUAGUUAAUUAAUGCAUAAAUAUUUACCCCCAAAAAAAAUAAAAAUUAAGGCAUUAAAAAUCACAUAGUUGACGUAGGCAAUGAAGGUAAUUUACUGUUAUUUCUAUUGGUAUGUGUUGGAUGGCGGAAUGGCAUGAUUGUUGGCUCAAAAGCAUUUUGAGACAGGUUCAAGCUGUUACAUAAAUCAUUGUUACGAGGGAUAUCAUUUAUGUAAAAAGAAGGUCAGCUGUUGAAUUACUCUUUGUAAGCAUUUUCAAACAAGCUCAAGCUGCUAUGUAAAACCUUUUUUUUUCUUUCUUGGAAGAAGUUCAGCCAUCCUCUAAUUAUUUAUUUUUUGUAUUUUGAAUUCUUAUUCAAAAUGCGUUUAUUUGUAUUUUUGGGUGGCAGUGGAAUUGAUGAUCAUAGAUAAGGAGACCCUGCCACUAGUGCCAUGUCUGCCAUUCGCAUAGUCGAUGCCUUCUUGGUCCCCAAAUUCCAUUGUGAUACCAUCAAGAAGCUCUUGUACGAGCGUACUGGAAGCUUGCCCAUUCAUUUUAUGCUUCUGCAAAAGCAGGAUAUAAAGGGAUAGGUUUCUCUUGCUGUUCCAGAGGCUUUCUCGUGAUCAGCAUUUUUCCAAACCUGCUUUUUAUAGCUUGGAAUUGUCACAUUUCGGAAGCCAUGAGGUACUUUCAUUCUCGUUUUACACUACUCUGCCAUCGAACUAUACUGUAGCCAAAGUGCUAUCCAUUUGUUCGUGGAAUAGUGAUUCUUAAAAUGCUUAAAAUUGGGAGUUUACAUUGUGUGAAAUUGGAGAUAAUAGAUCAUAAGUUUCUUUGACAAGCAAUACAAGAUAACUACUGGAUUUUUCUUUUCUUUUUUUUUUGGAGAACAACAUAGUUGUUGCAAAAGGCGAAAUGCUUGCAGAGAGUAUUUUCAAGUUAGCGUUAUAUUUAUUGUGAAAGCUUCUGCACAUUUAUUUGAUAUUAUUGUAUUUGUGAAAAUCUUGUGUUUUUA